GUGCUCGCUUCAGCAGCACAUACAUUAAAUUGGAAUGAUACAGAGAAGAUUAGCAUGGCCCCUGCGCAAGAAUGACACCCAAAUUCGUGAAGCAUUCCAUAUAAAA
Small nuclear RNA from Lontra canadensis (Northern American river otter), 106 nucleotides. The record is from RefSeq and is a predicted model, not a curated record. Lineage: Eukaryota; Metazoa; Chordata; Mammalia; Carnivora; Mustelidae.